This 168-nucleotide ribosomal RNA is filed under the name uncultured Smithella sp. Its description in RNAcentral is "partial 16S ribosomal RNA". It matches the Rfam family "Bacterial small subunit ribosomal RNA", at positions 1215 to 1382 of the family's 1533-position model. The record is from RNAcentral. Lineage: Bacteria; Pseudomonadati; Thermodesulfobacteriota; Syntrophia; Syntrophales; Smithellaceae.
UACACACGUGCUACAAUGGUGGUACAAAGAGAAGCCAACUCGCGAGAGCGCGCCAAUCUACAAAAAGCCAUCCUCAGUUCGGAUUGGAGUCUGCAACUCGACUCCAUGAAGUUGGAAUCGCUAGUAAUCGCGGAUCAGCAUGCCGCGGUGAAUACGUUCCCGGGCCUU